GCCGACAUAGCUCAGUUGGUAGAGCAACUGAUUCGUAAUCAGUAGGUCGGAGGUUCGAUUCCUCUUGUCGGCACCA
This 76-nucleotide transfer RNA is filed under the name Beggiatoa alba B18LD. RNAcentral describes it as "tRNA-Thr". It matches the Rfam family "tRNA". Rfam says of the family: Transfer RNA (tRNA) molecules are approximately 80 nucleotides in length. Their secondary structure includes four short double-helical elements and three loops (D, anti-codon, and T loops). Further hydrogen bonds mediate the characteristic L-shaped molecular structure. tRNAs have two regions of fundamental functional importance: the anti-codon, which is responsible for specific mRNA codon recognition, and the 3' end, to which the tRNAs corresponding amino acid is attached (by aminoacyl-tRNA synthetases). tRNAs cope with the degeneracy of the genetic code in two manners: having more than one tRNA (with a specific anti-codon) for a particular amino acid; and 'wobble' base-pairing, i.e. permitting non-standard base-pairing at the 3rd anti-codon position. The record is from RNAcentral. Lineage: Bacteria; Pseudomonadati; Pseudomonadota; Gammaproteobacteria; Thiotrichales; Thiotrichaceae.